AAUGCACCAAUUUGAACGUCGCUCUGGAUAAGAGCGUCUGCUAAAUGACGUAAA
Salmo salar (Atlantic salmon) is the source of this 54-nucleotide non-coding RNA. Lineage: Eukaryota; Metazoa; Chordata; Actinopteri; Salmoniformes; Salmonidae. The record is from Rfam.